This 85-nucleotide transfer RNA is filed under the name Polyangiaceae bacterium. RNAcentral describes it as "tRNA-Ser". It matches the Rfam family "tRNA". Rfam says of the family: Transfer RNA (tRNA) molecules are approximately 80 nucleotides in length. Their secondary structure includes four short double-helical elements and three loops (D, anti-codon, and T loops). The record is from RNAcentral. Lineage: Bacteria; Pseudomonadati; Myxococcota; Polyangiales; Polyangiaceae.
GGAGGCGUGGCCGAGUGGUCGAAGGCAGCGGUUUUGAAAACCGCCGUAGUGCAAGCUACCGGGGGUUCGAAUCCCUCCGCCUCCG